Long non-coding RNA from Urocitellus parryii (Arctic ground squirrel), 708 nucleotides. RefSeq lists it as uncharacterized. Lineage: Eukaryota; Metazoa; Chordata; Mammalia; Rodentia; Sciuridae. The record is from RefSeq and is a predicted model, not a curated record.
GAGCAUGCUCGGCUUCCCGGCUGUCUCGCCAGGCCUUUCAACGGUUGACUUCUCUAGAUGCGAAAAAGGGACAAUGGAGAAGUGGGCAGAAGGUUGACAAAGAUGUUCUGGAAGCGAUCAAUAGCUUUUGAACUCUCUCCGUGCACAAUUAAGUUGCCUCAGGGGUCGUGUGUGCAUUGUAUAUAGUGAAAGGAUUUAAUGCUAACAAAUCACUGUCAAUCAAAGAUUAGGUAUGGAAUUGCCGAAAUUUGAAGGUUUAGGCAAUGUGCCACGGAUGAAUUAUUCUCUAUACGAGUGUAACAUACACCUAGACAACUUUCUUAAAACAGUAUUUCAUAAAAAUGCAAUUUUUGAAAUUUUAAUGUUAGUCUAUAUUAUAAUAUGUACAUUUCGAAACGUAAACCUUCCACAUGGCAGCUCAAUUGAAGCCGAGAAUAUUUGGCUAAUUCAUGAUUUCUAAAUCUUUUCUCUGGAUUUAGUAAAUGGCAAGUAAUCCAUUAAUGUUUGAGAAUGAAUUAUGGGUUUGCUAGGUAAUCUGUAAAUGGCACUUAACCCGGAAAGCUGAGGUUCUUGAAUUUGAUAUGCACCUAUAUUCAGCUCUUGACCUUCUUGGUUUUCUAUUUUGGGCGGGUCCAGUGCUUAAAAAUAGGAAUACACUGUUUUUGCCAUACACACAAUGCAUAAGUAAAUUUGCUUUUCAAUACUGUU